RNAcentral lists this long non-coding RNA (280 nucleotides) under Homo sapiens (human). RNAcentral's name for it is "non-protein coding lnc-JPH1-2:4". The record is from RNAcentral. Lineage: Eukaryota; Metazoa; Chordata; Mammalia; Primates; Hominidae.
CUCAACUACAGUUAUUCUCUCAACCCAAGCUAAGGUAGUUGGUGCCAUACAUUUCCCACAGGACUACUAUUUUCCAAUAUCAACAUCUUUAAUUUAUUUAUUUAUUUUUGUUUUAGUGCACUAGCUGGAAGUUUCGAUAUAAUGUUAAAUACAAAGGAUGAGAGUAAAUAUUCUUACAUUUUUCCUGGUCUUAUGAAGAAAGAAUUUUCUUUCACCAUUAAGUAUUAUGUUGUCUGUAGGUUUUUCACAUAUGUUCAUAGUGGGUUGAAGCACUCUCUUU